Molecule: long non-coding RNA, 382 nt
Organism: Mauremys reevesii (Reeves's turtle)
Lineage: Eukaryota; Metazoa; Chordata; Testudines; Geoemydidae
Exons: 2
Source: RefSeq, a predicted model, not a curated record
CAUGCCAUGACCUCACCACCACAUUGCCAUGAUGUCACGUUGCCUUGCGUGUUACAUCCUAACCUCACCGUGUCACUUGCUGAGUUAAGAGAUCUGGGAUUUGCGGUUUAUAAGAAUGAAUUUUCUACUUGGGGACACGGCAAAUGGCUGGAAGGUGGUAUAGACAUGCUAAUGAUCCUAUUUAUCUGACCUGGAUUUCCAGGUAGGCUUCUGUUUACAGGCCUAGUGACCACCAAACGUCACCAAACUCCUUCUAAUGAGGCAAACUCUCACUGCUACAACUGCACAGUGAACCACUCGAUUUCCUGUUUUUGUCAAAGCAUGUUUCAUCCCAUGGACUCUUGCUCUUAGUCACGUUAGUAUUAAAAGGACCCUGACAUUC